This is a long non-coding RNA of Oxyura jamaicensis (ruddy duck), 333 nucleotides long. RefSeq lists it as uncharacterized. The record is from RefSeq and is a predicted model, not a curated record. Lineage: Eukaryota; Metazoa; Chordata; Aves; Anseriformes; Anatidae. The transcript has 3 exons.
UACAACUUUUAUCCCAAUCUCACUUUGAGCUGCUAUUUGCAUGACUUCUGUAGUGAUAAUGUAUGUGUACAUUCAGAAAGCUCAGAGAUAAUACCAUCUCUCAUCUCUUUUACCUUCUGUGGAAAAGGGAGCAAGACAAACAUGUGGCUUCUGGGCUACCUGAGCCCCCAGGUCACAUCUGGUGCUGCAAACCACUCUUCUGAAGGCGAAAGUGCAUGAUAAGGGGGAAAAGUGUAUUCUGUGAACAUCACUACCAUCUGUAAUCAGAAGCAGAAGAGGUUUAAUAUAAUCCCACAGGCUGGAAAUUCCUCUUGACCUGCCAAGGGUUUUUUU